UGGGGAAUAUUGCACAAUGGGCGAAAGCCUGAUGCAGCGACGCCGCGUGAGGGAUGACGGCCUUCGGGUUGUAAACCUCUUUCAGCAGGGACGAAGCGCAAGUGACGGUACCUGCAGAAGAAGCACCGGCUAACUACGUGCCAGCAGCCGCGGUAAUACGUAGGGUGCAAGCGUUGUCCGGAAUUACUGGGCGUAAAGAGUUCGUAGGCGGUUUGUCGCGUCGUUUAUGAAAACCAGCAGCUCAACUGCUGGCUUGCAGGCGAUACGGGCAGACUGGAGUACUGCAGGGGAGACGGGAAUUCCUGGUGUAGCGGUGAAAUGCGCAGAUAUCAGGAGGAACACCGGUGGCGAAGGCGGGUCUCUGGGCAGUAACUGACGCUGAGGAACGAAAGCGUGGGUAGCGAACAGG
RNAcentral lists this ribosomal RNA (409 nucleotides) under Acidobacteriota bacterium. RNAcentral's name for it is "Acidobacteria bacterium partial 16S ribosomal RNA". It matches the Rfam family "Bacterial small subunit ribosomal RNA", at positions 355 to 776 of the family's 1533-position model. The record is from RNAcentral. Lineage: Bacteria; Pseudomonadati; Acidobacteriota.